UUUUCAGUGUCGCAGCGAAAGCAUUAAACACACCGCCUGGGGAGUACGACCGCAAGGUUAAAACUCAAAUGAAUUGACGGGGACCCGCACAAGUAGUGGAGCAUGUGGUUUAAUUCGAAGAUACGCGCAGAACCUUACCAACACUUGACAUGUUCGUCGCGACUUUAAGAGAUUAAAGUUUUCGGUUCGGCCGGACGAAACACAGGUGCUGCAUGGCUGUCGUCAGCUCGUGUCGUGAGAUGUUGGGUUAAGUCCCGCAACGAGCGCAACCCUCACUUUUAGUUGCCAUCAUUUAGUUGGGCACUCUGAAAGAACUGCCAGUGAUAAGCUGGAGGAAGGUGGGGAUGACGUCAAGUCCUCAUGGCCCUUACGUGUUGGGCUACACACGUGCUACAAUGGCAUUUACAAUAGGAAGCAAGAUGGCGACAUCAAGCAAAUCCUAAAAAAAUGCCUCAGUUCGGAUUGUACUCUGCAACUCGAGUACAUGAAGCUGGAAUUACUAGUAAUCGCGGAUCAGCGCGCCGCGGUGAAUACGUUCCCGGGUCUUGUACACACCGCCCGUCACACCAUGGGAGUUGGUUCUACCUUAAGGCAAAGCUUAAAAACUUUGACCACGGUAUAGUCAGCGACUGGGGUGAAGUCGUAACAAGGUAGCCGUAGGGGAACCUGCGGCUGGAUUACCUCCUU
This 687-nucleotide ribosomal RNA is filed under the name uncultured marine alpha proteobacterium. Its description in RNAcentral is "bacterial SSU rRNA". It matches the Rfam family "Bacterial small subunit ribosomal RNA", at positions 837 to 1532 of the family's 1533-position model. Lineage: Bacteria; Pseudomonadati; Pseudomonadota; Alphaproteobacteria. The record is from RNAcentral.